UUAGGAAUCUUCCACAAUGGGCGAAAGCCUGAUGGAGCGACGCCGCGUGAGGGAUGAAGGCCUUAGGGUUGUAAACCUCUAAAAGAGGGACGAUAAUGACGGUACCUCUUGAAUAGCACCGGCUAACUCCGUGCCAGCAGCCGCGGUAAUACGGAGGGUGCAAGCGUUAUCCGGAAUCACUGGGCGUAAAGGGCGCGUAGGCGGGCUGUUAAGUCCGAUGUUAAAUCCCGGGGCUCAACCCCGGAUAAGCGUUGGAUACUGGCAGGCUAGACGGUUGGAGAGGCGAGUCGAAUUACCAGUGUAGCGGUGGAAUGCGUAGAUACUGGUAGGAACACCCAUUGCGAAGGCAGCUCGCUGGACAACACGUGACGCUGAGGCGCGAAAGUGUGGGG
RNAcentral lists this ribosomal RNA (392 nucleotides) under uncultured bacterium. Its description in RNAcentral is "bacterial SSU rRNA". It matches the Rfam family "Bacterial small subunit ribosomal RNA", at positions 355 to 766 of the family's 1533-position model. The record is from RNAcentral.